Molecule: long non-coding RNA, 2428 nt
Organism: Numida meleagris (helmeted guineafowl)
Lineage: Eukaryota; Metazoa; Chordata; Aves; Galliformes; Numididae
Source: Ensembl
AUCUGAUGAAUGAGCUGGUAGCUAAGAGAAGAGAUUAGCAUCAGAAGAAGCAACGACACCAGACUGACGUGGGGCAGAGGAGCAUCUUGUCUGGCAGUGUGGCCCCACAGAAGCAGGCAGGAUGGACGCGGGCACCCAGACCCAGCUGGCCUCAGCCCUGCAAGAAGAUACCACAAGUUCCAAUGCAACACAACAGCUAUGGAAGAUUUUUUCCUUGAAGUUCCUGAAGCCAUGCCGGCCAGGGACAAAGCCCCGAUCAAAGCCAUCAGAACUACAAGCGAAUAGGCCCAAGGCUCAGAACCCAACACACGCAGAGCCACGGGGAAGGCAGCGGUUCCCUGUGCCCCGAGAAGGGACAGAGAUGAUUGAUAACACCAGGAUUUCCAUCUCCCACCAGGAGCAGGCCAGGCCCAGGGCCAGCAGAGCAGCCCCUGCUACACCAGCAUUCCCAUCCCAGGCACAGGGCAGCUCUUGCUGCCCACAUGAGCCGCUGGCAGUGAGCCCACAGCCAGGCCAGCCUGACGCUGGUGGACAGCAGCCGCUGCUCUUUGUCUUCAAGCAGAAAAUGGCCCCCCUUGCUGCAUCUGUUCGGGGUCCUGCAGAGCUGAAUCAUUCGGCGUCUUUAGAAAUGGAAAUAGUUCCACAGGCCAUCCAGCCAGCACCCUUCUCCAUGCAGCUGAGCCCACAGGGGAAUUUUGUUCCGCAGCGUUCACAGCCCCCAGUUCUGCACAAUAUGGGCAAGUCAGCUCCAGUCACCUGCCAGCCCCCAAAGGUCAAGCAAGGGCCAGUGGGAGCCAGCAUUUCCCCUCCCUGCCUGGAGAUCAUCUCACUGAAGGAAGGCUUUGCCAUCAAGACCUUUCCCAGGUGCAACCAAAACUGUUUGCCUGCAAACCUCAACAAAGCCCACACUGAGCCCCUGCCAGGGGCUGCCAAGGUACUGAGUAUUCCUGUGAGAGGCCGAGCACCAAGGUCUGUGCCCCUGCCUGGAGCCAAGUGGGUACACAAAAUCCUGUAGAGAGAAGUCUUCCUCAUCCAACACCCAGCUCCUGUGAGGACGGUGCAGCUUGAAGCACACAGCAGCUCUACCCCAGGCAGUUCACAUUUUAAGGAUGCUUCCCCCACACGCCUUCAAACCACAUGCAAGGAAUUAAUAACACCAUGUUUGUUCAGUGUAAAGGUUGCAAUAUCUUUCUUUCACCUGGUUAAAUCCAUUUACCCAGACUGUUAAAUGGUACCAGCGCUGACAGUGCCUCUUUCCUGUGGAAGUGGCCCAGGUAAGCCAGGAGGAGGAGAAGGAGGAACGAAGAACUCCAGAUGCUGAGAGCAAGCAGAUGGGUGGUUUGUCCACUGGGGAUGAAGUUAUGAGAAAUCUGGAAAGGGAAUUUUGUUUGGUUGGGCUUUUGUAGCUUUUUUUUUUUUUUUUAAAGGCAAAUAUUGCCUUUCCUCUGGAUCACGUAUUGGCUGCUUCCAAGGGUACGGUUCUUUUGGCUAUAUACUCUCCAACAAUCCAUCACAGCUCACCAGCAUACACUGUACCAAAGUUUGCUACAGGACAGGAUUUUAAAAUUCAUCCUUAACAGCACACCUUAAAAAACCACGCAGCUCUCAUUAUGGCUAAAAGCCACCUCCUCUAGCUUGGUUUGGGUGAGUCACAUAAAAACAGCAGUCUCCUUUCUUGAAAAUCUACCAUCACCUAACACUGCGUGAAUUAUUAGAAUGAGACUCCCUGGUCAUUCAGAGAGUAAACGGUCUCAUCUUUGCACGGUUUGUAUGUGGUAUUUUGAACCCCACAUGAUGAAUGUGGCUUAUUUGCCUCUCUCCUGACAGCACGCAGCACCAGGCAGUUUGGCAGAGGCUCCUCCUCUACUUCCUUUGAUGGCUGCUGGUGAUGACAGUUGAUUCAGGGCUUCAGUACAAGAAGUGGAUGGUAAAAUACUAUUGAAAGUGAUUGUAUUUACUAAUAUUGAAUGCAAAAUGACCUGCAGAAAUGAUUAUUUUCAUCCAGCUGCCACAGCUGCUGCCACUCCCCUUACUGCUCUGGUUCUGCUGCUGCAAGUCACCAUGCUGGGUCCGAUAGCUGGUAAUGCAGUCACUGCUGCUUCCUUAGAGCUCUACAGCUUCAUUUCCUAGACAUAUAGCUUCAAAUACAGUUCACUGAAGAGAAGACUCAGAACCCAUAACGCAACAUGCCCAGACCAUCCAGCAGGGAUGUACAAACCCAUGGACUGCUUGUAACCUAUGGUUACAAAGACCGAUCUGACUGAGGCAACAUCUUACAUCACUCAAAUCCAGCUGGAAAAAAGACAAGCAACAACAGGGAUGUUUUGCUCAGCUAGCUUCAUACUGUACCUUACCAGAACGCAUUUAGUAUCUAAUGGGAGCACUGAGCAUGUAUAUUUAAUUAAAAUAAAAUCUUAACUUUGAUACA